AGAGUUUGAUCAUGGCUCAGGAUGAACGCUAGCGGCAGGCUUAAUACAUGCAAGUCGAGGGGCAGCGCAGUGUAGCAAUACAUGGGCGGCGACCGGCAAACGGGUGCGGAACACGUACGCAACCUUCCUUCAAAUGAGGAAUAGCCUUUCGAAAGAGAGAUUAAUACCUCGUAACAUUUUCUGGUGGCAUCACUGGAUUAUUAUAGCUCCGGCGUUUGAAGAUGGGCGUGCGCCUGAUUAGGUAGUUGGCGGAGUAACAGCCCACCAAGCCUACGAUCAGUAACUGGUGUGAGAGCACGACCAGUCACACGGGCACUGAGACACGGGCCCGACUCCUACGGGAGGCAGCAGUAAGGAAUAUUGGUCAAUGGACGCAAGUCUGAACCAGCCAUGCCGCGUGGAGGAUGAAGGUCCUCUGGAUUGUAAACUUCUUUUAUCGGAGAAGAAACCCUAGCAUUCUUGCUGGGUUGACGGUACCCGAUGAAUAAGCACCGGCUAACUCCGUGCCAGCAGCCGCGGUAAUAC
This 525-nucleotide ribosomal RNA is filed under the name uncultured bacterium. RNAcentral's name for it is "bacterial SSU rRNA". It matches the Rfam family "Bacterial small subunit ribosomal RNA", at positions 8 to 526 of the family's 1533-position model. The record is from RNAcentral.